AGAAUGAACGCUGGCGGCGUGCUUAACACAUGCAAGUCGUACGAGAACUCUUCUGCUUGCAGAAGAUAGUAAAGUGGCGCACGGGUGAGUAACGCGUGGGUAAUCUCCCUCUGACUCGGGGAUAACAUUGCGAAAGCGAUGCUAAUACCGGAUGACAUCAUGAAAACCUCGGUUUUUAUGAUCAAAGGUGGCCUCUACAUGUAAGCUUCCGAUUAGAGAUGAGCCCGCGUACCAUUAGCUUGUUGGUGGGGUAACGGCCUACCAAGGCUGCGAUGGUUAGCUGGUCUGAGAGGAUGAUCAGCCACACUGGAACUGACACACGGUCCAGACUCCUACGGGAGGCAGCAGUGAGGAAUUUUGCGCAAUGGGGGAAACCCUGACGCAGCAACGCCGCGUGAGUGAUGAAGGCUUUCGGGUCGUAAAGCUCUGUCGAGUGGGAAGAAAAACCAGAUACCAAUAAUAUCUGGGACUGACGGUACCACUGAAGGAAGCACCGGCUAACUCCGUGCCAGCAGCCGCGGUAAUACGGGGGGUGCAAGCGUUAUUCGGAAUCAUUGGGCGUAAAGAGCGCGUAGGCGGCCCUAUAAGUCAGAUGUGAAAGCCCGGGGCUUAACCCCGGAAGUGCAUUUGAAACUAUUGGGCUUGAGUAUGGGAGAGGGAAGUGGAAUUCCUGGUGUAGAGGUGAAAUUCGUAGAUAUCAGGAGGAACACCGGUGGCGAAGGCGACUUCCUGGACCAAUACUGACGCUGAGGCGCGAAGGCGUGGGGAGCAAACAGGAUUAGAUACCCUGGUAGUCCACGCAGUAAACGUUGAACACUAGGUGUAGCGGGUAUUGACCCCUGCUGUGCCGCAGUUAACGCAUUAAGUGUUCCGCCUGGGGAGUACGACCGCAAGGUUA
RNAcentral lists this ribosomal RNA (898 nucleotides) under uncultured bacterium. Its description in RNAcentral is "bacterial SSU rRNA". It matches the Rfam family "Bacterial small subunit ribosomal RNA", at positions 26 to 896 of the family's 1533-position model. The record is from RNAcentral.